Molecule: long non-coding RNA, 2814 nt
Organism: Oncorhynchus tshawytscha (Chinook salmon)
Lineage: Eukaryota; Metazoa; Chordata; Actinopteri; Salmoniformes; Salmonidae
Source: Ensembl
CCCCUAAAUGUUCCAUUACCCCUAAAUGUUCCAUUACCCCCUAAUGUUCCAUUACCCCCUAAUGUUCGUUACCCCCUAAAUCUUCCAAUGUUGAAUCUCAAACUUCUCUCUGAAUUGUUUUACAUGUAAGUUAUAUUUUAGCUUUAUUAAUGUUGUAAGCAGAUUCGUUUGUAAAAAACAAAAACAUGUUAUAAGUUAGUGCGCCAUGGAAUGACCUAUAGAGUGAAAUAAAAAACAAAAAAUACCUUUAAAAUAAUGGUCACUAGCACAAAAUGAAUAUAAUAUGUGACCUGCUUCAUCUGAAAUGUUUAUAUAUUUCUGCUUGAGUGAUCAUUCGUUUAAGUAAAGAUUUGAGUUCUACAUUGGCGCUUGCAACGCCAGGGUUGUGGGUUAGAUUCCCGGGGCCACGCAUACGUAAAAAUGUAAGUCGCUUUGGAUACAAGUGUCUGCUAAAUGGCAUAUAUUAUUAUUACAAAAAAAUGUGUUGCCGUGCAAGAUGCAAUAAGUCUGAUUCCAGCUAAAACAACUUGACUCAACAUAAACUCACAGAAAAAUGAAAAAUGUUUCUUCCAAUAUGGGGUUUUCAAAUAUUAUUUAUUUGAUUUUAUUAAAACAUUUUCAAGUAUAAUCUAUAUUUAGCAAUAUUCGAGAAGCCCUUUUGACCCUACACUCAAUUUUGUUUCAAUGGACUUGCUAUAUUUGGAAUGAAAUAACAUUUUAAUGUGUAAAAUAUUUGAGCGUCGUACCACGUUGUUUAACGUGUUAUGUGUUUUAUGGGAAAUAUGAUUCAGAAUGUGAGCAUCAACGUAGAUCCUUACAAUUACCAAAAUGUGGUAUUCUUGUGCUAAUGAAGUUUGUUUACUUUGAACAUCAUCUCUCCCGUGCUACAGUAGCCAUUUCAAUGUUAGAAUAAUGCCUUCCAAAUAACUAAACCAUACCCUUUAAGGUGUGGUUUGAAUUAAAGAGAGCUGUGUAAAGCGGUCUUUUGGUGAAGCCUGGUAUUUUUACAACUUUGUUGUUCUUGAAAUACUUGCGCUACACAAGAAGUGUUCAGCUUCCAACUUUUCCCAGAGUGUGAUUGCGAGUGCUCUUUCUGGAUCCUUGUAUGAAAUAUUGUGAAACAUUCCUGAAGGAAUGGCACACAUUGCCAGUUAGUCUUCUCAGGUCAAACCCCUCUGAAGUGACUUGAAUCAUUUUACCACCUUACCAGAAUAGAAUAAUCACACAACCUCUCCUCCCCUUCAUGAGAGCUUUGCAAAGUACACUCUCCCAAAGAAGCAGGGAGGUAGGAAAAGUACUUGUUUUACGAUUAUUUAUUUUAUAUGCAUCACUGAAACUCUGUAACCCAGUAAUAACACAUUUUAAAGCCCUUCUGUAUGACUAUUGAUGUGUCUGUGUUUGUAUGUUUGUCAAGGGAAUCACCCCCUGCUUUAGGUUUUUUCUUUGGGGAUUCAGGCCGCAGCGGUCAAGGGUUUGAUGCCCCCAUUAAUGGAAUACGUCAAAUGUUGUCAUUUGGACAGUUUUUUCAAACAUGUACUUAAGAACCAACAUGUCAUAUUUUCUACCCUCUUGCUAAAGACAUGCUAGAAGUCUCAUUUUCCUAUUAUGCACACAUUUUGAAACAAUUUGGUUUAGAAAAUGUAUUGUUUAGCUAUUUCUUGCCAGCUCAAACCACAAAUGAGCAUUGUACUAAUGUCCUUGAGCGGAUGGGUUAUUGCCUAAUGAAUUCCCAUUGAUAAAUCCCAAUAAAACCUUGUUUCUCCAUAGAUGACAGAGGGACAAGGGAUAUAACAGUAAACUGCUGUAACUGUCAUACUGUACUGUAGUCAUUUUGCAGUAAUAUUGAUUUUGAUUUUGUACUUGAACAACUGCAUUCACAAUGAAACAAUGAUAUUUUUGUACAAAGUAUCAAACCCUAAGUUAGCAUCAAACCCUGUCCUUGUUGUGUGUCCAUUGCUGUAUGUUUUUUCAAUGGUGUUGAAAUCUCAUUGUUGUUCAGGCUAUUAUGUGCUGCAGUAUUUCCUAGUAUACUUCUUUGUUAAUUUUCUCUCUCAUUUACAUUUAUUGGGGAUUUUUUUAAAGUGCGUUUGUUGUCUCCUUAAUAUCUGUUGAUAUAGCUUUAUAUGUACCAUAUUCCUUAGAAUAAUAUUAUUGAGUAUGUUGUGAGAAUGGAUAUUUUACUGGCUUUAUAGAAUGUUUAAAGAAAUAUAAUAAUGAGAAUAAGAAGAAUGAUUAAUUGAACUCCUAACAAGUUGAGUACUUGGCUACUAAGCGCUUGUGUUACCAUUAAGAUGUUGUGUGCUUCUCUUAAUCAUUUUCGUUGUAGAAAAAUUGAGUGAAUUUAAAAUAGGCUUCAAAAAACAAAUUAUAGCAUUGUACAUUUACAGGAGGAUUUUAAUUGACAACUUGGUCAUAGAAGAAAAUACUGAUUUGAAUUGCCCUCUUUACUAACUGUAGGGUGAAGGGGCUGGCAUUGUGGUGAACUAUGUUCUAGCUUGUUAUUCACUGUUACUUUUGAUCAUUUCUUCGGUCUCCGAGGUGAAUCGAGUUAUUCAUGAGAAUUUGUAUGCUCACAUAUGCAUAUUGUAUAUGUGUAGAAAUGUAAUCACACUUUGUCUUGGAUUUACAUUAAACUGUUAAGUCACGGCACCAGUCUCCCGUCUCAUACAAUAGUCAUUAUUUAUAUCUGCUGUGUUUGUGUUGGGGAGGGUUUGUGGUUGUGGUGUGUACACUUUAUCAACAUGGCAAAUUGCUUGAUGGUUUUUACAGACAUAAUGAUGCACCUGACAUAACAUGAAGGACACCUCACUGAAG